GUAGGGUGCGAGCGUUAAUCGGAAUUACUGGGCGUAAAGCGUGCGCAGGCGGUUUUGUAAGCCAGAUGUGAAAUCCCCGGGCUCAACCUGGGAAUGGCAUUUGGGACUGCAAGGCUUGAGUGCGGCAGAGGAGACUGGAAUUCCUGGUGUAGCAGUGAAAUGCGUAGAUAUCAGGAGGAAUACCGAUGGCGAAGGCAGGUCUCUGGGCUGACACUGACGCUCAUGCACGAAAGCGUGGGGAGCAAACAGGAUUAGAUACCCUGGUAGUCCACGCCCUAAACGAUGUCGACUGGUUGUUGGGGGUUUGACACUCUCAGUAACGAAGCUAACGCGUGAAGUCGACCGCCUGGGGAGUACGGCCGCAAGGUUAAA
This 372-nucleotide ribosomal RNA is filed under the name uncultured bacterium. RNAcentral's name for it is "bacterial SSU rRNA". It matches the Rfam family "Bacterial small subunit ribosomal RNA", at positions 527 to 898 of the family's 1533-position model. The record is from RNAcentral.